This 468-nucleotide ribosomal RNA is filed under the name uncultured bacterium. RNAcentral describes it as "bacterial SSU rRNA". It matches the Rfam family "Bacterial small subunit ribosomal RNA", at positions 28 to 507 of the family's 1533-position model. The record is from RNAcentral.
GACGAACGCUGGCGGCGUGGAUUAGGCAUGCAAGUCGGACGGUAGGGCUUUAUCGUAAGAUAGAGUUUGAGAGUGGCGAACGGGUGAGUAACACGUAGGAAUCUACCCUUAAGACGGGGACAACCCAGGGAAACUUGGGCUAAUACCGGAUGAGAGUGCGAGAGAUUGCAUUUAAAAAGGAUGGCGAAAGUUGUCGCUUAGGGAUGAGCCUGCGGUCUAUUAGUUAGUUGGUGGGGUAAAGGCCUACCAAGGCGACGAUGGGUAGCCGGCCUGAGAGGGUGGACGGCCACACUGGGACUGAGACACGGCCCAGACUCCUACGGGGGGCAGCAGUAGGGAAUCUUCGGCAAUGGGCGGAAGCCUGACCGAGCGACGCCGCGUGAGGGACGAAGGCCUUCGGGUUGUAAACCUCUGUCUGGGGGACGAGUAAGGACGGUACCCCCGGAGGAAGCCCCGGCUAACUACGUG